RNAcentral lists this long non-coding RNA (2056 nucleotides) under Eucalyptus grandis. RNAcentral's name for it is "long non-coding RNA (EGRA_LNC003757)". The record is from RNAcentral. Lineage: Eukaryota; Viridiplantae; Streptophyta; Magnoliopsida; Myrtales; Myrtaceae.
GCUGCUUCGGUCUCCUUCAUACACCUCCCCUUCGAAGCCGACUUCAUGAGCUUUUGCUUAUUUUCAUUUUUUCCUUCAUUUCACCCCUCUUCCACGUGCUGCUCCAUCAAAACUUCCCCUCACACCGUGAGCUUCAAGCUGCUGUGAAGACCGAAGCCACUCAUCCCCUCCCCCACUCACAUACGCCCACCUCCACUCACGAUUCCCCUCUGCAAGCCCCCCCCCCCCCCUUUGGUCAACAAACCAGCCUUGUUUUCACUUUGGUUGACUCAUCUCACAGCUCCAUUUCGUUGGCUCCCAUUCGUGCGGCCCACAGCCCGUUGAAGGCCAGCGAUUUCUCCCUGCUGCUUCGAAGACUAGCCAUCCAUCUCCUUCAAUCGAGGCCCCAUCAGAGCCCACGCAUCCAGCGCCUUCACGUCCGAGAGUUUGCAGCCAGCAGCGAGCUUGUGGUCGAUUUCAACCGGCCCAAGCUUCCCUCGGCCUCGCCGUGAGCCCGAGUCUCGGCCGCCGUUGCGCCGCUGUCGCCGUGAGCCGAUUUUCGUGCUAACCAUUGAGUUGCGUUCUAAUCCUUAAUUAGUGGGCUAAUGACACUUAGAGGUGUGUUAGUUUGCUAAUUGAUGGAUUAAUUAGGUUAAUUAGGCUUAGGAUAGCUUAGUUAGAUUAAGUAUACAGUUAGUAUUUAGUUAGUUUAAUUAGUUUAGUUAGGUGGAUUAGUUAGGAAUUAGUUAGUUUAUUUAAUUAGUGUCCUUAGAUUAAGUUUAAUAGAAUGGUUAGAUUUAAUUGUUAGUAGAUUAUAUAGCUUAGUUAGUUUAGGUUAAUUUAAUUAAAUGCUUUAAAUUUAUUUAUUUCGUAAUUUAUUUAAUUUCUGGUAAUUUACUUAAUUAUUAAUUAUUUUUCGGAAAUUAGAUCGGGAUAGUCAGUGACCGGAAUUUCGUGCUGAUUGUAAUGGUGUGUUCAAUUUUUGCAAUUGAGUGUUAAUUUAUGCAAAUUGAGUACUGAUUUGGGAAUUGAGUAUUUAAUUCCAAAAAUUUGUGAAUUUUGAUAUUUAUUCAGAAAAUUCCGGGUGUCGGAUGUUAACACUGAAAAUGGUUUUAUAUACUAUAUAAAACAAUGAGAUUUUAAAUUGGAGGUUAUGAAUUUUCUAGGUCCAAUCUGACCGUGUACCCACACACGACUAAUUUACCGUGUAUUUUUAAUACGAAGAAAAUAGGCUAGGAUCACUAUCUUAAUUGAGGCAUUUGAGUGCAAUGCAUAGUGUCCUGGACCGAAAUUGAUUGGUCGUGUGUUGAUUAAGAGAACCCAUCUCGAACAAUUAUGCUGGACAUUACUAAAUCCCUUUUUGGGGUUACCCAUGUAUUUGGGUAGCGGGUUGCAGUAGAUUCUGGACCUAUGCUCCUCCGGUAAAGUUGUCAAUGAGACGUAGCCAUGCUCAAUGGGGAAGAGACGAUACCUGGCUAUACCAGUAGACAGUCGAACAUGGGAGUCGGUUGUGCCUUGAGUGGCUUAAUUACCAAUUGCAACGCAUGAUUGUUUGAAUUUGAUGCGCCUAAUUAUGAGACAAAACUGUGUAGCAUGGUAUGAGACAUGUCAUAACGGUUUGGCCUUAUAAUCGGGACCCUUGUGAUGGUGAGGUAUUCCAAUUGUUAUGUGCAUUGAUUAUAUGCAAUGUGCUGAAGAGAGGUAAGUCCUCUGUGUUAAUUGUGUGGUUGUGUGAUUAGGAUACUUCUAGGUGUAUUUCCCUCCUAAUCAGGGCUUAGACUGUGAACUCACUGAGAUUUAUAACUUACCCCGUCGUGGGCUUAAAUUUUUCAGGGCUGUAGAAGGAGGACAUGGAGCUGAGCUAAGGUGACCUGAAGAUUAGGUCGAAUAGGACAGCCUCUUUCUGAGAACUAGUCUUUUGGGUAUAGACGUUUGUAAAUGACUUAGUAUGUUUAUAAAAGUGUGGUUUGUUUGUGAAUGUGAUGUCCUGUUUUUCUAUCCCGAGAUGAUUACUGUCAGGGGAUUUAUUUUUGUUUCCGCAUGUGCAAUAAAAUGAAAGGGUCGGUGACUUGUCCUG